Ictalurus punctatus (channel catfish) is the source of this 303-nucleotide long non-coding RNA. RefSeq lists it as uncharacterized. The record is from RefSeq and is a predicted model, not a curated record. NCBI's taxonomy places the organism in Eukaryota, Metazoa, Chordata, Actinopteri, Siluriformes, Ictaluridae. The transcript is spliced from 2 exons.
UGGUGCAUUAAGAAGAAUAUCCAUAGUGUUAGAAAUUUAUAGAACGAUCCAGAGCUUACUGCUAAUGAUGUGUUAACUAGACUAAACCCUACGUAGCAACAUGUUGGUCACACUAUUUUCAACAGGGACAGGAAUUUACUGAUGAUUUAUGGCUGACUAUAAUUGAAAGCUAGUCUGUGAGCAAAAGACACUGCCAAGGCCCUAUCAACCAAAUGAGGUGAGAUUAGACACAAUCAGACUACACAGCUGGUUGUAUCGUUGUUCAUUUUACAUAGGAGAUAAUAAAACUUGAUCUUGGCUUCA